GAUGAACGCUAGCGGCAGGCCUAAUACAUGCAAGUCGAACGAUAUUAUCCAGCUUGCUGGAUAUGAAAGUGGCGCACGGGUGCGUAACGCGUAUGCAACCUACCUUAUUCAGGGGGAUAGCCCGAAGAAAUUCGGAUUAACACCGCAUAAAAUCACAGUUCAGCAUUGGACAAUGAUCAAAUAUUUAUAGGAAUAAGAUGGGCAUGCGUGUCAUUAGCUAGUUGGCGGGGUAACGGCCCACCAAGGCGACGAUGACUAGGGGAUCUGAGGGGAUGACCCCCCAACUGGUACUGAGACACGGACCAGACUCCUGCGGGAGGCAGCAGUAAGGAAUAUUGGUCAAUGGAGGGAACUCUGAACCAGCCAUGCCGCGUGCAGGAAGACGGCCCUCUGGGUUGUAAACUGCUUUUAUUCGGGAAUAAACCUAUUUACGUGUAAAUAGCUGAAUGUACCGAAGGAAUAAGGAUCGGCUAACUCCGUGCCAGCAGCCGCCGUAA
This 497-nucleotide ribosomal RNA is filed under the name uncultured bacterium. RNAcentral describes it as "partial 16S ribosomal RNA". It matches the Rfam family "Bacterial small subunit ribosomal RNA", at positions 28 to 523 of the family's 1533-position model. The record is from RNAcentral.